RNAcentral lists this long non-coding RNA (373 nucleotides) under Setaria viridis. Its description in RNAcentral is "long non-coding RNA (SVIR_LNC007739)". Lineage: Eukaryota; Viridiplantae; Streptophyta; Magnoliopsida; Poales; Poaceae. The record is from RNAcentral.
UCGGAGAGGAAGAGAGAUGGAAGACACACAUUUAGAUAGGUGGACAUGUGCAAGCGGCAAAAGGAUGAUCCCGAGGCACAAAGGAAGUCCUUGUUAUCGGAUUGCAUAUGGUUGGAGAAUUAUGAGUAUGAUACAACGAUGGUAACCUUGUCGAGCCAAUCAUUAUGCUUCAAAAGAUGAGGAGCUUAUUCUUUCUUUUUUUCGUUUUCUUCUUUCUUUCUCUUCUUUUUUUUCCAUUAUGUUUCUUCCUUAUUUUUCCGUUUUCUUCUUCUUCUUCUUCUUCUUUAUUUUUGUUUCUUGUCUUCUCAAAUUCUAGCAUAACAAAUCAUGAUCCAACCAGCAGCUAUCAAGGAUAGAUAGUGCACUGACUCUC